Molecule: long non-coding RNA, 2655 nt
Organism: Lepidothrix coronata (blue-crowned manakin)
Lineage: Eukaryota; Metazoa; Chordata; Aves; Passeriformes; Pipridae
Exons: 3
Source: RefSeq, a predicted model, not a curated record
CAAAAAAAAGUCCUAAAGAAAAUAAACAAAACAAUAAUUAACCAAAAAGCCCCAACAAACAAACACACACCAAAAAUGUUCAAAUUGUGCAUCACUUAAAUAUCUUCCAACACAUCCAGCCAGAUCUAGCAAACAUCUAAACAUGUACAUAUAACCAUAUUUAAUCAAAUGCACUAUAUCUGAAGAGUUGCUGGUUUGCAUUUCAGCUAUCCCUACAGCUCUUAUGCAUUAUUUGUACUGACCUGUGCAAUCUAUUCUAUACAAUAAACCAGGAAUUUAAGAAAGAAAAACCACUCAGAGGUAACAAUUUCCAGCAAGGUCUUGGUUCUUGCCCCAUUUAGGUCCAAGGAAAAAGAAUGACACCUGAGGGAAUGGAGCCAUUUGGGAUGCAGAUGAUCCUUGACUUCCUUCUGCUCCAUCUCGAAGAAGUACCCGCUGAAGCUGCAUGUAAAAGCUGUUUAAAUGAAAAGGUGCUAUGUGAAAACCUAGACUUUUCUGACACCUCUCCUGACUGAGGCCUGUAAGGAGGGCGGAUGAUCAGAACAGUCUCUUCUGACUCUAACAGCGACAUACCUUAAAAACUGGCACAAUGCAAUGUCCCAGAAUCAUCUAAUUACCCAACAAGAACUUCAACUAAGAAAGAAAUUGAAUCACAGGAGAGAGAGAUAUAUUCCAGAUCCCAAGAGAAAGAUGCACAGAGCAAAUCUUGCAGAGAUAAACCAGGUCUGAGAGGGGAAGACGUGCUAUAAGCAGAAGAUGAAGACAAAACUUUAAAGUUGUUCCAUUUCAUUGACUCUCACUAGUGACUGUUUGAAACUGUUCUUUCUGAAUUGCCAGAAAUGGUAUUGUGAUUGGCAUAAACUCUGAGACUGCUUCAGAACAAGGCACGUUUUAAAUACAUUUGGACAUGUUGCUGUACUGAGUUUCAAUAAGAAUACUUGAAAGCUUUCUUUAAAGAGGACAUAAGACUUCCCUGCUUCCCAAGUAAUUUUUUUAUGGCAAAUCUUAUUAUAUGAAGGCAUCUUUCAAAAAGGUUGAAACCAUGGUCUUAAGUCAUUUUCUCCAGCAUCACGAAAUCAUUAUCACUGCAAUACUCCAACUGCCAAUGUCAUCCAGUACCAAGAAGCUGCACUGACUUAAAAAGAGAAAAACAAAAACCAAAUUAUCAGACAGUUGCUGGUAUAAAUGACAAGCUACUUUACUACUACAGUCUAUCCUGUCACACUCCCUUCCUGCGCACACUUCCCGCCUUCCCCAAUAAACUCUCUGAACAGGCUGAGGGAGCACAGGCUAUGUUAGAAAAGCUAGUCAAGGCCACAGUCAAUACUUGCAUCAUAUCACAACUGUGAAAAACAGGUUAAAGCAACCCAACCUGACUCCAGAAUUUUAGGUGAUUUUUAUAUACCAAACCCGAUCAGCCACAUCAGGUGCCCACACUAUUUUAAAACUCACACCUCUGGAGUGAUAGUACCUCUAAUUCUUCUUUAGGUUCCUCAAAACAUCACUCACUUUUUCUGCUUAAAGCAUUCCUUCCCCCGCUCUUAUUAUCUAGUUCAAACUUUUCCUUCCUUAGCCUUAAGCGAUUGCUCUUUCUCCUGCCAUCUGAGACCAAGCAAUUCCCUCUCUUCAUUUAUCUUACUACCUUGACGAUAUUAAUAGAGUAUUAAUAGUCACCUCUACUCACUCUAAAAAUUGAGUUCACUCUGCUUUUUGCUGCCCUCCUUUGUGUUCUCUCAUUUCCUCAGUGCCUCCACAAGCGAGACUUAACUGACAAAGUAUUCAAGGUAAGCAGGUCUGUGUAUAGGACCUUAUAAAAAAAAACAACAAUCACCUUAUUGCUCUGUAAUAGGAACUAUGAUAUAAACCAGUGUGAUACUUUUUUUUUUAAUUAACUUUGAUGAUUCUAUGUUGAUCCAUGAAAACGAUGUCCUACAGACCGGAGAAAUCCCAUUAAUCAAUUUUAAAGGAAAAUGUGAGUGGAAUAAACCAACAAAAGGCAGAUCUAUGUUGACUCAGUUGCUGAAGAGUAUACGCACUCUUGUCACAAACACAUCUGGCCAUUGUUACUGCACGGCCAAAGCACAACUGUGCUUUCAGCUUACCCCUCUGCACCCUUUUCUCAAGCUCCUGAGACAGAACACCAUUAAGUAUUAGUAAGAAUUAACUGUUACAUCGGGACUGGAUAGGGUUGAAAAAAGGGUUGAACAAAAAAUGACCCUCAUAAUUGGACAAACCUGAGGUCACGAAGAAGGAAUGCAGAAAAGUGUAUCCCAAAAUAAUCCCACAUAAACAUUUAAAAGCUUUUCCACUACAUAUUUGUAUGCAAAUAGAAAAUUAUAAAACCAUUGGAAAGACAUGGGCUUCCCCCCACCCCUGCCCACCACGAGAAGACAUUACAAUUUUAUUUUCUGGUCUGCACUACGUAGCUCUUCACAUGAAUUACAUCCUUGUGUUCAAAUCAGUAAUUUACUGUGGAAAAUCAGUUAAGACUCCCACACCCAUACCUUCCUCUCCCUCUUGAGUAAGGGGUCAAAUACCUGUUAUAUCUGCUACAUUAAAUAGCUCCUUUGAAGCCUCUAAGGGCAGUUUCCAAAACCAGUCUAGAGCACUGAAAUCGUUGUUUAAUAUCAACUGAGAUUUUUUUAAUCCAUCUGG